This 21-nucleotide non-coding RNA is filed under the name Arabidopsis thaliana (thale cress). Lineage: Eukaryota; Viridiplantae; Streptophyta; Magnoliopsida; Brassicales; Brassicaceae. The record is from RNAcentral.
UGGCACUCACUGGUGUGAUGA